This 253-nucleotide ribosomal RNA is filed under the name uncultured bacterium. RNAcentral's name for it is "partial 16S ribosomal RNA". It matches the Rfam family "Bacterial small subunit ribosomal RNA", at positions 524 to 776 of the family's 1533-position model. The record is from RNAcentral.
UACGUAGGGAGCUAGCGUUGUUCGGAAUUACUGGGCGUAAAGCGCACGUAGGCGGCUUUUUAAGUCAGGGGUGAAAUCCCGGGGCUCAACCCCGGAACUGCCCUUGAAACUGGAAAGCUAGAAUCUUGGAGAGGCGAGUGGAAUUCCGAGUGUAGAGGUGAAAUUCGUAGAUAUUCGGAAGAACACCAGUGGCGAAGGCGACUCGCUGGACAAGUAUUGACGCUGAGGUGCGAAAGCGUGGGGAGCAAACAGG